CCAUCAUCGUUUCUUAUUUUCUGCAUUUUUCGGCCAAAAAACUAGAAUUACGCCCGAUUCCCAUAUAUUCGGGUGCUAUAUACCCACGCCUUCCAAGUGGUCAGGGGAGCCGCGGACCCCGAUCGCCUAAAAAUUUUCCGGACUAUCAAAUACGACCUAAGGUACCAUAGUCACUGUCCCACCAUGAUCGUUCCAAAUGCUUUGCAUUUUUCGGCCUAAAAACUAGAACUCUGCGCGAUUUCGAUAUUUUCGUGUUCUUUAGCCCACGCCUUCUAAGGGGUCCCAGGAACCCCGAACCCCGAUCGCCUAAAAUUUUUCCGGGCCAUCAAAAUACGACCUAAGGAACCAUAGUAACCACCCCGCCAUGAUCGUUCCUCAUUUUUUGCGUUUUUCGGCCAAACAACUAGAAUUCCGCGCGAUUCCCAUAUUUUUGUGUGUUAUAGCCCACGCCUUCCGAGUGGUCCCGAGACCUCCUGACCCCUAUCGCCUAAAAAUUUUCCAGACAAUCAAAUACGACCUAAGGAACCA
RNAcentral lists this long non-coding RNA (528 nucleotides) under Nicotiana tabacum (common tobacco). RNAcentral's name for it is "long non-coding RNA (NTAB_LNC018619)". The record is from RNAcentral. Lineage: Eukaryota; Viridiplantae; Streptophyta; Magnoliopsida; Solanales; Solanaceae.